This is a long non-coding RNA of Herpailurus yagouaroundi (jaguarundi), 1341 nucleotides long. RefSeq lists it as uncharacterized. The transcript has 2 exons. NCBI's taxonomy places the organism in Eukaryota, Metazoa, Chordata, Mammalia, Carnivora, Felidae. The record is from RefSeq and is a predicted model, not a curated record.
GUGUGCCCUUUCAACAGGUAGAAACAGAAUCAAGGCCAUCCUACACUAUAAAAUGAAGAUAGUUAUUGAUUCCCUCCCGAACAUCCUUCCCUCCUCUAUGAUUCACAUAUACAAUAUUUGCUCGGGACCACAGAGUUCCUCCAGGAGUGCUAAUAACAAUAUGCCUGACCACAGUAACAAACACUCACGCGGGAAUGUUAUUAGACCUCGGGCACCGUUCUAAGUAUAUCUGACUUUCACAGAAGCACCCUGAGGUAAGUUCUACUCUUUGCCCCCUUCCAUAUGAGGAAACUGAAGCACGAGGAAGCAAAAGAGCCGGCCUCAAAACACACGACAGGUAGGGGGACGAAACCCAGACCACAGCACUUCGGCCCCCGAGGCCUCAGCCUCUUUCACUGCCCACCUGCAUCAUGCUGUGGUGCUUCAGGUCAAUUACUGGUAAGUCUCAAGAAAAUUACAUCAGGGUCAUCGCUGCCAUUUACCGGUGCACAUCUUGCCCAAGGCCACAAGUUGUGAGUACCAAAUGGGGAUUUGAACCUGGUAUUGGACACAACUCCAUAGCCAUGGGUGUUUCCAGUAUGUCAAGCCGCUGCUUGCUUUACUGUCAUAAAACCUACAGACCAAGUGCUUUUUUGCCAGUAGGAACAAUUUGUUUCUUCCCACAUCGCCCUACUUUCCGUUGCAUUUCACUCUCCAGCCUUCUUACAAAGAGCGCGCAAGCCCCAGACAAUCGCUUCCUUGGGCCAUGCAAAUAAUGUCUACUGCCUUGACCUUGCUUUGAAGAUCUUUGUCUGCCUUGGGUUUUUAACUCUCCUCAGAGAAGUGAUUUAAUUCAGACCCUCUUUCCUAAAGAAACUUGAAUCCCUGAAAACUGACACUCGUAUUUCCUGUUAUUUACCAGAUUCUACGCUCUCUGGGUGCUAAUUUGCCCUUGAGAUAUCCUAGCAGGCUUACGCCAAGCUCAACGGACCGAAGCCUCCCUUGUCCCAAGUUGGACCUACCCGUGGCGACACGUUUUGCUCGAAAGUUGAGGAAACGUGGAGCUAUUGCCAUCACUGGCAAAUCAGCUUUCGAUGAAAUAUUCAAGACAGCUAGAAGCUAAGCAGGAUAACCGAAUUCACAACCAUUUGCUACAGGACCAUAAUUUAAUGGCAGCAUUAUAAUUUGCUAAAUACCAUUACCGUGGCACCGGGUCCUAUUAAUCAAAAACAGGAAAAGCUGUACACAGCAAUUUUUCUUUACUAUUUGUAGUGGCUUAUUACUGGUGCUUACCUCUAGAGUAGAUGUUACCUUUUUAGCUUCCAUAAUCAAAUACUCUAAAAAUAAGUCAAAUUUGAUUAC